CGUAGGUGACAAGCGUUGUCCGGAAUUAUUGGGCGUAAAGGAGCGCAGGCGGUUGGAAGUAGUCUGAUGUGAAAGACCCACCGGCUUAACCGUGGAAGGUCAUUGGAAACUGUCCAACUUGAAUGCAGAAGAGGUAAGUAGGAAUUCCAAGUGUAGCGGUGAAAUGCGUAGAUAUUUGGAGGAACACCAGUGGCGAAGGCGACUUACUGGUCUGUGAUUGACGCUGAGGCUCGAAAGCGUGGGGUAGCAAACAGGAUU
RNAcentral lists this ribosomal RNA (258 nucleotides) under uncultured bacterium. RNAcentral's name for it is "partial 16S ribosomal RNA". It matches the Rfam family "Bacterial small subunit ribosomal RNA", at positions 526 to 779 of the family's 1533-position model. The record is from RNAcentral.